Molecule: transfer RNA, 73 nt
Filed under: Tetracentron sinense
Lineage: Eukaryota; Viridiplantae; Streptophyta; Magnoliopsida; Trochodendrales; Trochodendraceae
Rfam family: tRNA
About the family: Transfer RNA (tRNA) molecules are approximately 80 nucleotides in length. Their secondary structure includes four short double-helical elements and three loops (D, anti-codon, and T loops).
Source: Rfam by way of RNAcentral
ACCUACUAAACCGAGUGAUUAGAGUAUUGCUUUCAUAUGGCGGGAGUCAUUGGUUCAAAUCCAAUAGUAGUUA